CCUACGGGAGGCAGCAGUAGGGAAUAUUGCUCAAUGGGGGAAACCCUGAAGCAGCAACGCCGCGUGGAGGAUGAAGGUUUUAGGAUUGUAAACUCCUUUUGUGAGAGAAGAUAAUGACGGUAUCUCACGAAUAAGCACUGGCUAACUCCGUGCCAGCAGCCGCGGUACUACGGAGGGUGCAAGCGUUAUUCGGAAUCACUGGGCGUAAAGGGGGUGCAGGCGGGUUUGUAAGUCCGCUGUGAAAUUCUUAGGCUUAACUACAGAACUGGAUUUGAAACUAUGAGUCUAGAGUGUGGGAGAGGUAGGCGGAAUUCGUGGUGUAGGGGUGAAAUCCGUAGAUAUCAAGAAGAAUACUGAUUGCGAAGGCAGCCUACUGGAACACUACUGACGCUGAUGCACGAAAGCGUGGGGAGCAAACAGGAUUAGAUACCCCAGUAGUC
This 440-nucleotide ribosomal RNA is filed under the name uncultured bacterium. RNAcentral's name for it is "partial 16S ribosomal RNA". It matches the Rfam family "Bacterial small subunit ribosomal RNA", at positions 338 to 795 of the family's 1533-position model. The record is from RNAcentral.